UGUUCCUACCAAGAAUCGGACUUGGGAUACAAUCUUAUCAGAAUUGUGUGAUACCACUUCACUAUAAGAAC
This 71-nucleotide transfer RNA is filed under the name Klosneuvirus KNV1. Its description in RNAcentral is "tRNA-Ile". Lineage: Varidnaviria; Bamfordvirae; Nucleocytoviricota; Megaviricetes; Imitervirales; Mimiviridae. The record is from RNAcentral.